CGCAUCUGUGCAUGCAGCAUAUCAAUAAGCGGAGGAAAAGAAACUAACAAGGAUUCCCUUAGUAACGGCGAGUGAAGCGGGAAGAGCUCAAAUUUGAAAUCUUCAAGGUUUACCUUGACGAAUUGUAGUUUAAAGAAGUGUUUUCUGUUGAAGUUUUGGUAAAAGUUCUUUGGAAUAGGACAUCAUAGAGGGUGAGAAUCCCGUAUUUGACCAUUAUUUUCAGCUGUGUGAUACACUUUCAAAGAGUCGGAUUGUUUGGGAAUGCAGUCCAAAAUGGGUGGUAAAUUUCAUCUAAAGCUAAAUAUUGGCGAGAGACCGAUAGCGAACCAGUACCGUGAGGGAAAGAUGAAAAGAACUUUGAAAAGAGAGUUAAACAGUACGUGAAAUUGUCAAAAGGGAAGCGUUUGACACCAGUGUUGUUUUCUCGAAAAUCAAUUAAAAAGAGUUAGAUUUUGUUGUGUAUUGACCUUAACAGCUUGCAUUUCAAUUUUCUUGCUUUUUUUAAUGCACUUUUCGUUUAACAAGUCAACAUCAGUUUCUUUUGUUGUAAAAAGGUCAUUGGAAGGUGGCUUUCUUUUCGGAGAAAGUAUUUAUAGCCUUUGACUCCUGCAAUCGGAGAGACUGAGGUCCGCAGCGUAGAUCCUUCGGGGUUAGAUACAUUUGUGCUAAGUUAUAGCUUUUUAUAGACAACUUGUUGACUAUGAUUAGUCUUGUAGCUUACUCGCUUAUGCUAUUUUACCUACGCUUAGGAUGUUGAUCUGUAGUGCGUGCGC
RNAcentral lists this ribosomal RNA (773 nucleotides) under uncultured Neocallimastigales. Its description in RNAcentral is "partial large subunit ribosomal RNA". It matches the Rfam family "Eukaryotic large subunit ribosomal RNA", at positions 26 to 635 of the family's 3401-position model. Lineage: Eukaryota; Fungi; Neocallimastigomycota; Neocallimastigomycetes; Neocallimastigales. The record is from RNAcentral.